GACAGAGGGUGCAAACGUUGUUCGUAAUUACUGGGCGUAAAGCGUGUGUAGGCGGUCAAGUAAGUCGGAUGUGAAAGCCCCGGGCUCAACCCGGGAAGUGCACUCGAAACUGCAUGACUUGAGUAUCGGAGAGGUUGGUGGAAUUCUCGGUGUAGAGGUGAAAUUCGUAGAUAUCGAGAGGAACACCGGUGGCGAAGGCGGCCAACUGGACGAAUACUGACGCUGAGACACGAAAGCGUGGGGAGCAAACAGG
This 253-nucleotide ribosomal RNA is filed under the name uncultured bacterium. RNAcentral's name for it is "partial 16S ribosomal RNA". It matches the Rfam family "Bacterial small subunit ribosomal RNA", at positions 524 to 776 of the family's 1533-position model. The record is from RNAcentral.